RNAcentral lists this long non-coding RNA (35483 nucleotides) under Triticum aestivum (bread wheat). RNAcentral describes it as "long non-coding RNA (TAES_LNC027987)". The record is from RNAcentral. Lineage: Eukaryota; Viridiplantae; Streptophyta; Magnoliopsida; Poales; Poaceae.
GCGAGGAAAGGCAGGGAGUGGGGCCAGGGACACGAUUAGGUCCGAUUUCCUUUUUUUGCGAGUUGGUUAGAUGGUUAGAUUAGCGUGAUUUGAGGGGCUGCGGAUGCGGGACGGAGAGUUUCAUAUUUUCCUCUUGUGGAGUAUGGUCAGUCUAUUGAAACUGCUAAGCGCACACCAGAUCUUGAAUAAAUUAAUGAUGACUGUUGGAUUGGGUCGUGUGGGCUUCAUCCUGUGGUGCUGAUGUAUCUGUGUACGUUUUGCGGGGUGCACGUAACAAAGUUCUUGUUUGAUUGUUUAAUAGUAGUGGAGAUGUAGUGGAGCAGCACACAUUAAGACGAGGGCAGUGUGGUGCAUUAAUCCUCACCUGUACCUAGUAAAUGUGAUGACACUAUAAUACCUCACUUUCCAACUUCAACGACGCUGGAUUGAGAGAGAUGGUGGUGCAAGCUUCAAAUGCAGUUAACAUUCCCAACCUGUGCCUAGUAAAUGAGGUCUGCUCCUAGUAAAUGAGUUGGGUCACGUUUGUCAAGCAUGUGGCCCCUUAUGCAUUGAUUGUUUUGUGGAAUACAGAUUCAAUACUGCAAGGAGGAAUAUUCAAUAUACGUGAUAUGCACUGCUUAUGGUAUGAAUACGAUACAAAUCUGAGACAAAUGGAUGGUGAGAUAAAGACUUCGCGUGGCGCCAUAUUCACCUAUGCAUUUUUGAUACAAUGACUACUAAUAAAUACUAAAUUGUUUACCUUUAGAAGUGUAAAAAAACAUAGAUUUAUAAUUGAAAACAAUAUCUUUAGGAUUUUCAUGAAAAUUAUUUGUAUUAUAUUAAUUUUGAUUAUUUUUUGUCUAAAAAAUAAUGGUCAAAGAUACACUACUAGAAAAUACCUUAUAGGUAGAUGCCAAGCAGUAGCGAUAGGUAAGUGACCGGCGUUGAUGUUAAGUAGUAGUAGCGUGGGUCAGUAACCCACACUACAGGCACAUGGUAGUAGUAGCGAGGGUGGCCACAACAAGCGCUGCGUCUAAGUGUGCCCCAAGAUACGCCAAGUCGAGCCAUAGUAGCAACGCGGGUCAUAUAACCCGCGCUACAAGUAACAUGCUAACUGUAGCGUGAGCCCUAUAGCCCACGUUGCCACUACUCUUACAUAGGCCAGCUGGUGGGCCCAAUUUAACAUCAGCGCCGGUUAAAGGCCCGCGCUACAACUUAGCAGUAGCGUGGUCCACGUACCCGCGCUACGGCUAAGCUCACCUUAUCCCCUACCUAAUCGUCCAUUUCCUAAUCUCUCAUCACUCUCACUCUCACUCUCUCGCACUCUCCUCUCUCCUCGGCGUCGCCGCCUCCCGCCGCCACCACCGCGGUCGGCCACCGACUCUCCCGCUCCUCCUCCACCGAGGUAGCUCCUCCCUCCUCCCUCCACCUCCCUCCCUCCCUCCUCCCUCCCUCCUCCCUCUAUUCUUCUAGAAUGUAGGUUUUUUAAUAGAAUAGUUUUUUUGAAUGGAAUAUAAUAUAGAAUGUAGAUUUUGAAUAGAGUAUAAAACUAGUAGAUUUUGAAUGGAAUACAAUAGAAUGUAGAUUUUUUUUAAUGGAAUAGAAAAUUUUCUGUAAAUGUACGUCUUUUGAAUAGAAUAGAAAAUUACUAAACGUAGGCCUUUUGAAUAGAGUAGAAAACUAGUAAAUGUAGGUCAUCAAAAUUAUGCUUGCCAAAUUUAGAGAGAGAGAUACUUUCAAUCUAGGUCAUCAAAGUUAUGUUUGCCAAAGUUUGUAUGAGGUCCUUUCAAUGUUGAUAUUUUGUGCUAUUUGGACAUGUGUAUGUGUAUGAACAUGUUGAUUCUGAAUUGAUGUGUAUGUGGUACCAAAGAUGGCCACAUAUGUCUCUUUCUAUUGCAGGGAAACUCUGAAUGGCCCAUAUUUUGCCGGAAUGUUGAUUCAUUUCCGUUCCGGCAAAUUUUAGGUGCUCGAUACGUCCUGUUUUUGGCAAAGGUCAUACCGAUUUGUUUUGUGGAUUUCAGCAAGACUUGUGCUAUAAAUUAGGAAAUAUCAAGUGCCCGUGAUUUGCGGGAAUAGUAAUUAAAUGAUAUUCCGGCUAAACAUAGGCCAUUUUUUAUGUCAUUGCUCGAUAUAUGUAACGAGUUGACUUUCAGUCUAUUGGGGCUCCUUGUGUGACGGUCGAUAUAUGAGAGGGGAAGAAUUCCGCCUGUCGUCGUGGGGGUCGCUUCUCCUUCUUGUUUUUUUGCUAGACCUUCUUAAUGCACUAGGGAAGGAGGAGUAGCAACCAUCACCGACGGUCGAAAAAUCAGUAAGGCGGAGUCCAUCAUAUAUGAGAGAGGAAGAAUCCCGACUGUUGUCGUGGGGAUCACUUCUCCUUGUUCUCCUUGUGCUAGAUCUUUGUAAUGCACUAGGGGAAGGAGGAGUAGUGACCAUCACCGAUGGUCGAUAUAUGAGAGAGGAAGAAUCCCAACCAUUGUCGUCGGGGUGUCUUCUCCUCCGUUCCCGUGUGCUAGACAUUUUGGUGUAAUGCAGUCGGGAACGAAGGGAGGAGUGACCAUCACCAAUGGUCGAAUAUAUGAGAGAGGGAGUACCCACCAUAUACACCAAGUGAGAUGUGAGUUUUCAAGGAAGACUCGACAGACCGAAAGUUAACGCGUGCUGAAUAGUGAUCUGUGUGUCUACUUCCUGGUAAUUGUUAUCAAUUUUUAAUCUUUGAAUCAUGAACACAAGACAUGUCUUAGAUGAUAGGAUCCCUGAGUGCGAUUACUGCAGCGACAACCAGGGUAUAUGUGCGACAUGCCUCACCUGGAAAAUGAUAGGUUCUUCCCCAUCAAGCUAGAUGAGACCUUCAAAGUUUUUACGGUCCGUACUGAUGAUAAGUAUUUUUUUCAUAAUGAAGCAUUACUUGUGCUUUUUUUUGCUUCAAUGCAUAAUUUCCAUUUUUUACAAUUUGAGUAGUGCAUCCCCUACCAUGCAAGACGGUAUGUCUUAGUGAAGCUCAGUUUUGAAGAUAGUAAAAAUAUGGAGACGGAGAUAUCUCACCUUAGGACAUCCUCGAUCUUUUAAUUGGUAUUAGAGCCUCCUCUCUCUUUGUCUGGCUUAACCGCCUAGAGAGUAAGGAUGUCGACUAGGGGAAUAGGAUUCUCUGACACUCUUAGUUUUGAUGGCACAAAGUUUGAUGUUUGGGUUAUUCGCAUGCUUAAUCAUUUUUGGGCCAUUGACCCGUGUUUAGAGUGAAUUUUAGAUAUGUGGGUUUCUCCUCUGAAGGAUCCUCAAAGAUUAUCUAUAGAGGGUGAGAAAAACUCUUAUGUUAAUGCUCAAGCUGCUAAUGUGCUUUUUGAUGCUUUGAGCAACGUAGUUAUAUUUCAACUCAUGUCGUUUCGGGAUGCUCUUGAGUUGUGGACUAAGCUUAAAGAUAAAUAUGGUGUUUCCAAGAUUUGUGAGGAUAAUUUUCCUCCCUCCACCUCCGGUCAUAUAGUGUUCUCAACUUCUUAUACUUCACCUACAUGUGGCUUGCCACAAGGUAAUAACAUGGUGAGUGGUGGUGUUCAUUGCAAUGAUGAUAGUGGGCUUAUUGUUGAUUAUCCUUCAUCACUUUCUUAUUGCAAUGCUUCAUCUUUGGACUUUAGCAGUUUGAGCACUCCAAAUGUUUCACAUGCUUGUGUUGAGAGUCCGUGCAUAUCAUGUAGAAAUUCUUGACUAAAUAUCAUGAUGAUAUGCUUGCUAUAUCUUGUUGCCAUGAUAAAAAUGCAUGUAUUUCCUCGAGUUGUUGUGCUAACUGAUACGUCCAUUUUGCAUCAUGCUUUUAUAUCGAUACUUAUUGCAUUAUGGGCUGUUAUUACACAUUAUGUCACAAUACUUCUGCCUAUUCUCUCUUAGUUUACAAGGUUUACAUGAAGAGGGAGAAUGCCGGCAGCUGUGAUUCUGGGCUGGAAAAGGAGCAAAUAUUGGAGACAUAUUCUGCACAGCUCCAAAAGUCCUGAAACUCCACGAAAGUCAUUUUUGGAAUUAAUGAUAAAUAUUGAGUGGAAGAAGUACCAGAGGGGGCACACACCCUGGCCACGAGGGUGGGGGCGCGCCCCCUGCCUCGUGGGCCCCCUGGCAGCCCUCCAGUGGCCAUCUUCUGCUAUAUGAAGGCUUUUACCCUGGAAAAAAUCAUAAGCAAGCUUAUGGGACGAAACCCGCUGCCACGAGGCGGAACCAAUCUAGGGCUCCGGCGGAGCUGUUCUGCCGGGGAAACUUCCCUCCGGCAGUGGGAAAUCAUCACCAUCGUCAUCACCAACGAUCCUCUCAUCGGGAGGGGGUCAAUAUCCAUCAACAUCUUCACCAACACCAUCUCCUCUCAAACCCUUGUUCAUCUCUUGUAUCCAAUCUUUGUAGCAAAACCUCAGUUUGGUACUUGUGGGUUGCUAGUAGUGUUGAUUACUCCUUGUAGUUGAUGCUAGUUGGUUUAUUUGGUAGAAGAUCAUAUGUUCAGAUCCUUAACGCAUAUUAAUACCCCUCUGAUUAUGAACAUGAAUAUGCUUUGUGAGUAGUUACGUUUGUUCCGGAGGACAUGGGAGAAGUCUUGCUAUUAGUAGUCAUGUGAAUUUGGUAUUCGUUCGAUAUUUUGAUGAGAUGUAUGUUGUCUCUCCUCUAGUGGUGUUAUGUGAACGUCAACUACAUGACACUUCACCAUUAUUUGGGCCUAGAGGAAGGCAUUGGGAAGUAAUAAGUAGCUGAUGGGUUGCUAGAGUGACAAAAGCUUAAACCCUAGUUUAUGAGUUGUUUCGUAAGGGGCUGAUUUGGAUCCAUAUGUUUCAUGCUAUGGUUAGGUUUACCUUAAUACUUCUUUUGUAGUUGUGGAUGCUUGCAAUAGGGGUUAAUCAUAAGUGGGAUGCUUGUCCAAGAAAGGGCAGUACCCAAGCACCGGUCCAUCCACAUAUCAAAUUAUCAAAGUAACGAACACGAAUCAUAUGAGCAUGAUGAAAACUAGCUUGACGAUAAUUCCCAUGUGUCCUCGGGAGCGCUUUUUGUUGGGGAACGUAGCAGAAAUUCAAAAAUUUCCUACGAAUCACCAAGAUCUAUCUAUGGAGAGACCAGCAAUGAGUAGAAAGGAGAGUGCAUCUACAUACCCUUGUAGAUCGCUAAGCGGAAGCGUUCAAGUGAACGGGGUUGAUGGAGUCGUACUCGUCGUGAUUCAGAUCACCGAUGAUCCUAGUGCCGAACGGACGGCACCUCCGCGUUCAACACACGUACAGCUCGACGAUGUCUCCCAUGCCUUGAUCCAGCAAGGAGAGAGGGAGAGGUUGAGGAAGACUCCAUCCAGCAGCAGCACAACGGCGUGGUGGUGAUGGAGGAGCGUGGCAAUCCUGCAGGGCUUCGCCAAGCACCUACGGGAGAGGAGGAGGUGUCACGGGAGGAAGGGAGGCGCCAAGGGCUCAGGUAUGGAUGCCCUCCCUCCCCUCCACUAUAUAUAGGGGCAGGGGAGAGGGGGGAGGCGCAGCCUUGCCCCCUACUCCAAGAAAGGGGUGCGGCCAAGAGGGGGGGAGGAGUCCAUCCUCCCCAAGGCACCUCGGAGGUGCCUUCCCCCUUGAGGACUCUUCCCUCUAGGGUUCCCUAGGCGCAUGGGCCUCUUGGGGCUGGUGCCCUUGGCCCAUGUAGGCCAAGGCACACCCCCUACAGCCCAUGUGGCCCCCCCGGGCAGGUGGCCCCACCCGGUGGGCCCCCGGGACCCUUCCGGUGGUCCCGGUACAAUACCGAUGACCCCGAAACUUGUCCCGAUGGCCGAAACAGGACUUCCUAUAUAUAAAUCUUUACCUCCGGACCAUUCCGGAACUCCUCGUGACGUCCGGGAUCUCAUCCGGGACUCCGAACAACAUUCGGUAACCACAUACAAACUUCCUUUAUAACCCUAGCGUCAUCGAACCUUAAGUGUGUAGACCCUACGGGUUCGGGAGACAUGUAGUCAUGACCGAGAUGUUCUCCGGUCAAUAACCAACAGCGGGAUCUGGAUACCCAUGUUGGCUCCCACAUGUUCCACGAUGAUCUCAUCGGAUGAACCACGAUGUCAAGGACUCAAUCAAUCCCGUAUACAAUUCCCUUUGUCUAGUGGUAUGGUACUUGCCCGAGAUUCGAUCGUCGGUAUACCGAUACCUUGUUCAAUCUCGUUACCGGCAAGUCUCUUUACUCGUUCCGUAACACAUCAUCCCGUGAUCAACCCCUUGGUCACAUUGUGCACAUUAUGAUGAUGUCCUACCGAGUGGGCCCAGAGAUACCUCUCCGUUUACACGGAGUGACAAAAUCCCAAUCUCGAUUCGUGCCAACCCAACAGACACUUUCAGAGAUACCCGUAGUGUACCUUUAUAGCCACCCAGUUACGUUGUGACGUUUGGCACACCCAAAGCACUCCUACGGUAUCCGGGAGUUGCACAAUCUCAUGGUCUAAGGAAAUGAUACUUGACAUUAGAAAAGCUUUAGCAUACGAACUACUUGAUCUUGUGCUAGGCUUAGGAUUGGGUCUUGUCCAUCACAUCAUUCUCCUAAUGAUGUGAUCCCGUUAUCAACGACAUCCAAUGUCCAUGGUCAGGAAACCGUAACCAUCUAUUGAUUAACGAGCUAGUCAACUAGAGGCUUACUAGGGACAUGGUGUUGUCUAUGUAUCCACACAUGUAUCUGAGUUUCCUAUCAAUACAAUUCUAGCAUGGAUAAUAAACGAUUAUCAUGAACAAGGAAAUAUAAUAAUAAUCAAUUUAUUAUUGCCUCUAGGGCAUAUUUCCAACAGUCUCCCACUUGCACUAGAGUCAAUAAUCUAGUUCACAUCGAUAUGUGAUUAACACUCAAGGUCACAUCCCCAUGUGACUAACACCCAAAGAGUUUACUAGAGUCAAUAAUCUAGUUCACAUUUACCAUGUGAUUAACACUCGAUGAGUUCUGGGUUUGAUCAUGUUAUGCUUGUGAGAGAGGUUAUAGUCAACGGGUCUGAACCUUUCAGAUCCAUGUGUGCUUUACAAAUCUCUAUGUCAUCUCCUAGAUGCAGCUACCACGUUCUAUUUGGAGCUAUUCCAAAUAACUGUUCUACUUGGAGCUAUUCUAAAUUGUUGCUCCAUUAUACGUAUCCGGUAUCUCUACUCAGAGCUAUCCGGAUAGGUGUUAAGCUCGCAUCGACGUAACCCUUUACGACGAACUCUUUUACCACCUCCAUAAUUGAGAAAAUUCCUUAGUCCACUAGUUACUAAGGAUAACUUUGACCGCUGUCCUGUGAUCCAUUCUUGGAUCACUCUUGUACCCCUUGACUGACUCAUGGUAAAGCACACUUCAGGUGCGGUACACAGCAUAGCAUACUGUAGAGCCUAUGUCUUAAGCAUAGGGGACGACCUUCGUUCUUUUCUCUCUAUUCUGCCAUGGUCGAGCUUUAAGUCUUAACUUCAUACCUUACAACUCAGGCAAGAACUCCUUCUUUGACUGAUCCAUCUUGAACACCUUCAAGAUCACGUCAAGGCAUGUGCUCAUUUGAAAGUACUAUUAAGCGUUUUGAUCUAUCCUUAUAGAUCUUGAUGCUCAAUGUUCAAGUAGCUUAAUCCAGGUUUUCCAUUGAAAACACUUUCCAAAUAACCCUAUAUGCUUUCCAGAAAUCCUACGUCAUUUCCGAUCAACAAUAUGUUAACAACAUAUACUCAUCAGAAAUUCUAUAGUGCUCCCACUCACUUCUUUGGAAAUACAAGUUUCUCAUAAACUUUGUAUACACCCAAAAUCUUUGAUCAUCAUCAAAGCAUACAUUCCAACUCCGAGAUGCUCACUCCAGUCCUCAGAAGGAUUGCUGGAGCUUUGCAUACUUAUUAGCAUAUUUCAGGAUAGACAAAACCUUCCGGUUGUAUCACAUACAACCUUUCCUCAAAAAUCAUCGAGGAAACAAUGUUUUGACAUCCUAUCUGCAAGAUUUCAUAAAUAAUGCAGUAAUUGCUAAUAUAAUUCCAAUAGACUCUUAGCAUCGCUACGAGUGAGAAAGUCUCAUCGUAGUCAACUCCUUGAACUUGUCGAAAAACAUCUUAACGACAAGUCGAGCUUUCUCAAUGGUGACACUUACCAUCAUUGUUUGUCUUCCUUUCAAAAUCCAUAUGUACCUAACAGCCUUACGACCAUCAAGUAGUUCUUCCAAAGUCUACACUUUGUUUUCAUACAUGGAUCCUCUCUCGGGUUUUAUGGCCUUGAGCGAUUUAUCGGAAUCCGGGCCCACCAUCGCUUCUCCAUAGCUCGUAGGUUCAUUGUUGUCUAGCAACAUGACUUCCAAGACAGGAUUACGUACCAUUCUGAAGCAGUACGCACCCUUGUCAUCCCACGAGGUUUGGUAGUGACUCGAUCCGAAGUUUCAUGAUCACUAUCAUAAGCUUCCACUUCAGUUGGUGUACGUGCCACAGGAACAACUUCCUGUGCCCUGCUACACACUUGUUGAAGUGACGGUUCAAUAACCUCAUCAAGUCUCCACCAUCCACCCACUCAAUUUUUCGAGAGAAACUUUUCCUCGAAAAAGGACCCGAUUCAAGAAACAAUUCAUAUUGCCUUUGGAUCUGAAUUAGGAGGUAUACCCAACUGUUUUGGGUGUCCUAUGAAGAUGUACUUUAUCCGCUUUGGGUUCGAGCUUAAUCCUGAAACUUUUUCACAUAAGCGUCGCAACCCCAAACCUUUCAAGAAACGACAACUUAGGUUUCUCUAAACCGUAAUUCAUACGGUGUCAUCUCAACGGAAUUACGUGGUGCCCUAUUUAAAGUGAAUGUGGUUGUCUUUAAUGCCUAACCCAUAAACUAUCGUGGCAGUUCGAUAAGAGACAUCAUGGUAUGCAUCAUAUCCAAUAGGGUGCAACUAUGAUGUUCGGACACACCAUCAUACUAUGGUGUUCCAGGCUGUAUCAGUUGUGAAACAAUUUCCACAAUGUCUUAAUUGUGUGCCAAAACUCGUAACUCAGAUACUCAUCUCUAUGAUCAUAUCAUAGACAUUUUAUCCUCUUGUCACAAUGAUCUUUCAACUUCACACUGAAAUUACUUGAACCUUUCAAUAAUUUAGACUCGUGAUUCAUCAAGUAAAUAUACUCAACAUCUACUCAAAUCAUCUGUGAAGUAAGAACAUAACGAUAUUCACUGCAUGCCUCAGCACUCAUUGGACUGCACACAUCAAAAUGUGUUACUUCCAACAAGUUGCCAUCUUGUUCCAUCUUACUGAAAACGAGGCUUUUCAGUCAUCUUGCCCAUGUGGUAUGAUUUGCAUGUCCCAAGUGAUUCAAAAUCAAGUGAGUCAAAAUGGUCCAUUUGCAUGGAGUUUCUUCAUGCAUAUACACCAAUAGACAUGGUUCGCAUGUCUCAAACUUUUCAAAAACGAGUGAGCCCAAAGAUCCAUCAAUAUGGAGCUUCUUCAUGCGUUUUAUACCGAUAUGACUUACGUGGCAGUGCCACAAGUAGGUGGUACUAUCAUUACUAUCUUUUGGCAUGAACAUGUGUAUCACUACGAUCGAGAUUUAAUAAACCAUUCAUUUUAGGUGUAAGACCAUUGAAGGUAUUAUUCAAAUAAACAGAGUAACCAUUAUUCUCCUUAAAUGAAUAACCGUAUUGCGAUAGACGUAAUCCAAUCAUGUCUACGCUCAACGCAAACACCAAAUAACAAUUAUUUAGGUUUAACACCAAUCUCUUUGGUAGAGGGAGCGUGCGAUGCUUGAUCAUAUCAAGCUUGGAAAAACUUCCAACACAUAUCGUCAGCUCACCUUUAGCUAGUCUCCGUUUAUUCCGUAGCCUUUUGUUUCGAGUUACUAACACUUAGCAACCGAACCGGUAUCUAAUACCCUGGUGCUACUAGGAGUACUAGUACACAUUAACACAAUGUAUAUCCAAUAUACUUCUAUCGACCUUGCCAGCCUUCUUAUCUACCAAGUAUCUAGGGUAAUUCUACUCUAGUGGUUGUUCCCCUUAUUACAGAAGCACUUAGUCUCGGGUUUGGGUUUUACCUUGGAUUUCUUCACUAGAGUAGCAGCUGAUUUGCCGUUUCAUGAAGUAUCCCUUCUUGCCCUUGCCCUUCUUGAAACUAGUGGUUUCACCAACCAUCAACAAUUGAUGCUCCUUCUUGAUUUCUACUUUCGCGGUGUCAAACAUCGCGAAUACCUCAAGGAUCAUCAUAUCUAUCCCUGAUAUGUUAUAGUUCAUCACGAAGCUCUAACAGCUUGGUGGCAAUGACUUUGGAGAACCAUCACUGUCUUAUCUGGAAGAUCAACUCCCACUCGAUUCAAAUGAUUGUUGUACUCAGACAAUCUGAGCACAAGCUCAACAAUUGAGCUUUUCUCCUUAGUUUGCAGGUUAAGAAAGUCAUCGGAGGUCUUAUACCUCUUGACGUGGGCACGAGCCUGAAAUCCCAAUUUCAGCCCUCAAAACAUCUCAUAUGUUUUGCGACGUUUCAAAAAUGUCUUUGGUGCCUCAACUCUAAACCGUCUAACUGAACUAUCACGUAGUUAUCAAAACGUGUAUGUCAGAUGUUCGCAACAACCACAGACAACGUUCGAGGUUCAGCACACUGAGCGGUGCAUUAAGGACAUAAGCCUUCUAUGAAGCAAUGAGGACAAUCCUCAUUUUACGGACCUAGUCCGCAUAAUUGCUACUAUCAACUUUCAACUAAUUUUUCUCUAGGAACAUAUCUAAACAGUAGAACUAUAGCGUGAGCUACGACAUAAUUUGCAAAAACCUUUUGACUAUGUUCAGGAUAAUUAAGUUCAUCUUAUGAACUCCCACUCAGAUAGACAUCCCUCUAGUCAUCUAAGUGAUUACAUGAUCCGAGUCAAACUAGGCCGUGUCCGAUCAUCACAUGAGACGGACUAGUCAUCAUCGGUGAACAUCUUCAUGUUGAUCGUAUCUUCUAUACGACUCAUGUUCGACCUUUCGGUCUCCGUGUUCCGAGGCCAUGUCUGUACAUGCUAGGCUCGUCAAGUUAACCCUAAGUGUUUUGCAUGUGUUCCGAGGCCAUGUCUGUACAUGCUAGGCUCGUCAACACCCGUUGUAUUUGAACGUCUGAAUAAAACACCCGAUCAUCACGUGAUGUUUUGAAACAGCGAACUGUCGCAACGGUGCACAGUUAGGGGAGAACACUUCUUGAAAUUGUUGUAAGGGAUCAUCUUAUUUACUACCGUCGUUCUAAGCAAAUAAGAUGUAUAAACAUGAUAAACAUCACAUGCAAUCAAAUAGUGACAUGAUAUGGCCAUCAUCACUUUGCUCCUUUUGAUCUCCAUCUUCGGGGCUCCAUGAUCAUCAUCGUCACCGGCAUGACACCAUGAUCUCCAUCAUCAUGAUCUCCAUCAUCGUGUCUUCAUGAAGUUGCCUCGCCAACUAUUACUUCUACUACUAUGGCUAGGUUACUACUACUAUUAGUUUCAUGCUAUGGUUAGGUUUACCUUAAUACUUCUUUUGUAGUUGUGGAUGCUUGCAAUAGGGGUUAAUCAUAAGUGGGAUGCUUGUCCAAGAAAGGGCAGUACCCAAGCACCGGUCCAUCCACAUAUCAAAUUAUCAAAGUAACGAACACGAAUCAUAUGAGCAUGAUGAAAACUAGCUUGACGAUAAUUCCCAUGUGUCCUCGGGAGCACUUUUUGUUGGGGAACGUAGCAGAAAUUCAAAAAAUUUCCUACGAAUCACCAAGAUCUAUCUAUGGAGAGACCAGCAACGAGUAGAAAGGAGAGUGCAUCUACAUACCCUUGUAGAUCGCUAAGCGGAAGCGUUCAAGUGAACGGGGUUGAUGGAGUCGUACUCGUCGUGAUUCAGAUCACCGAUGAUCCUAGUGCCGAACGGACGGCACCUCCGCGUUCAACACACGUACAGCUCGACGAUGUCUCCCACGCCUUGAUCCAGCAAGGAGAGAGGGAGAGGUUGAGGAAGACUCCAUCCAGCAGCAGCACAACGGCGUGGUGGUGAUGGAGGAGCGUGGCAAUCCUGCAGGGCUUCGCCAAGCACCUACGGGAGAGGAGGAGGUGUCACGGGAGGGAGGGAGGCGCCAAGGGCUCAGGUAUGGAUGCCCUCCCUCCCCUCCACUAUAUAUAGGGGCAAGGGAGAAGGGGGAGGAGCAGCCUUGCCCCUUACUCCAAGAAAGGGGUGCGGCCAAGAAGGGGGGAGGAGUCCAUCCUCCCUAAGGCACCUCGGAGGUGCCUUCCCCCUUUAGGACUCUCCCCUUUUUCCUAUAUCUUGGCGCAUGGGCCUCUAGGGGCUGGUGCCCUUGGCCCAUGUAGGCCAAGGCGCACCCCCUACAGCCCAUGUGCCCCCCCGGGGCAGGUGGCCCCACCCGGUGGGCCCCCGGGACCCUUCCGGUGGUCCCGAUACAAUACCGAUGACCCCGAAACUUGUCCCGAUGGCCGAAACAGGACUUCCUAUAUAUAAAUCUUUACCUCCGGACCAUUCCGGAACUCCUCGUGACGUCCGGGAUCUCAUCCGGGACUCCGAACAACAUUCGGUAACCACAUACAAGCUUCCUUUAUAACCCUAGCGUCAUCGAACCUUAAGUGUGUAGACCCUACGGGUUCGGGAGACAUGCAGACAUGACCGAGAUGUUCUCCGGUCAAUAACCAACAGCGGGAUCUGGAUACCCAUGUUGGCUCCCACAUGUUCCACGAUGAUCUCAUCGGAUGAACCACGAUGUCAAGGACUCAAUCGAUCCCGUAUACAAUUCCCUUUGUCUAGCGGUAUGGUACUUGCCCGAGAUUCGAUCGUCGAUAUACCGAUACCUUGUUUAAUCUCGUUACCGGCAAGUCUCUUUACUCGUUCCGUAACACAUCAUCCCGUGAUCAACCCCUUGGUCACAUUGUGCACAUUAUGAUGAUGUCCUACCGAGUGGGCCCAGAGAUACCUCUCCGUUUACACGGAGUGACAAAAUCCCAAUCUCGAUUCGUGCCAACCCAACAGACACUUUCAGAGAUACCCGUAGUGUACCUUUAUAGCCACCCAGUUACGUUGUGACGUUUGGCACACCCAAAGCACUCCUACGGUAUCCGGGAGUUGCACAAUCUCAUGGUCUAAGGAAAUGAUACUUGACAUUAGAAAAGCUUUAGCAUACGAACUACAUGAUCUUGUGCUAGGCUUAGGAUUGGGUCUUGUCCAUCACAUCAUUCUCCUAAUGAUGUGAUCCCGUUAUCAACGACAUCCAAUGUCCAUGGUCAGGAAACCGUAACCAUCUAUUGAUUAACGAGCUAGUCAACUAGAGGCUUACUAGGGACAUGGUGUUGUCUAUGUAUCCACACAUGUAUCUGAGUUUACUAUCAAUACAAUUCUAGCAUGGAUAAUAAACGAUUAUCAUGAACAAGGAAAUAUAAUAAUAAUCAAUUUAUUAUUGCCUCUAGGGCAUAUUUCCAACAGUCUCCCACUUGCACUAGAGUCAAUAAUCUAGUUCACAUCGAUAUGUGAUUAACACUCAAGGUCACAUCCCCAUGUGACUAACACCCAAAGAGUUUACUAGAGUCAAUAAUCUAGUUCACAUUUACCAUGUGAUUAACACUCGAUGAGUUCUGGGUUUGAUCAUGUUAUGCUUGUGAGAGAGGUUAUAGUCAAUGGGUCUGAACCUUUCAGAUCCGUGUGUGCUUUACAAAUCUCUAUGUCAUCUCCUAGAUGCAGCUACCAUGUUCUAUUUGGAGCUAUUCCAAAUAACUGUUCUACUUGGAGCUAUUCUAAAUUGUUGCUCCAUUAUACGUAUCCGGUAUCUCUACUCAGAGCUAUCCGGAUAGGUGUUAAGCUUGCAUCGACGUAACCCUUUACGACGAACUCUUUUACCACCUCCAUAAUUGAGAAAAUUCCUUAGUCCACUAGUUACUAAGGAUAACUUUGACCGCUGUCCUGUGAUCCAUUCUUGGAUCACUCUUGUACCCCUUGACUGACUCAUGGUAAAGCACACUUCAGGUGCGGUACACAGCAUAGCAUACUGUAGAGCCUAUGUCUUAAGCAUAGGGGACGACCUUCGUUCCUUUCUCUCUAUUCUGCCAUGGUCGAGCUUUAAGUCUUAACUUCAUACCUUACAACUCAGGCAAGAACUCCUUCUUUGACUGAUCCAUCUUGAACACCUUCAAGAUCACGUCAAGGCAUGUGCUCACGUCAAGAUCACGUCGGUAUACCGAUACCUUGUUCAAUCUCGUUACCGGCAAGUCUCUUUACUCGUUCCGUAACACAUCAUCCCGUGAUCAACCCCUUGGUCACAUUGUGCACAUUAUGAUGAUGUCCUACCGAGUGGGCCCAGAGAUACCUCUCCGUUUACACGGAGUGACAAAAUCCCAAUCUCGAUUCGUGCCAACCCAACAGACACUUUCAGAGAUACCCGUAGUGUACCUUUAUAGCCACCCAGUUACGUUGUGACGUUUGGCACACCCAAAGCACUCCUACGGUAUCCGGGAGUUGCACAAUCUCAUGGUCUAAGGAAAUGAUACUUGACAUUAGAAAAGCUUUAGCAUACGAACUACAUGAUCUUGUGCUAGGCUUAGGAUUGGGUCUUGUCCAUCACAUCAUUCUCCUAAUGAUGUGAUCCCGUUAUCAACGACAUCCAAUGUCCAUGGUCAGGAAACCGUAACCAUCUAUUGAUUAACGAGCUAGUCAACUAGAGGCUUACUAGGGACAUGGUGUUGUCUAUGUAUCCACACAUGUAUCUGAGUUUCCUAUCAAUACAAUUCUAGCAUGGAUAAUAAACGAUUAUCAUGAACAAGGAAAUAUAAUAAUAAUCAAUUUAUUAUUGCCUCUAGGGCAUAUUUCCAACACUUUUCUCUAUAUAAGAACUUGUCCAGGCUUUUCCUUUGCUACAAAAAGGAUUGGGCCACCUUGCUGCACUUUAUUUACUUUUAUUGCUUGCUACCCGUUACAAAUUACCUUAUCACAAAACUAUCUGUUACCGAUAAUUUUAGUGCUUGCAGAGAAUACCUUACUGAAAACCGCUUGUCAUUUCCUUCUGCUCCUCGUUCGGUUCGACACUCUUACUUAUUGAAAGGACUGUGAUAGAUCCCCUACACUUUUGGGUCAUCACUAACAAUGUAGAGGAAACCCAACACUCCAUGGAACAAGAUGUGGUCUUGAACGGUGCUUCAAGGGAUCCUACAUCGUCAUCUAUGCUUUUUGCCUAUGGCUAUGGUUUCAAAGGUAUCUCCUACUUUGAACCCCAAUAUGUCUCUUGAUGAUGAUGUUAAUGCUAAUAAUGAUGAGGAUAAUGAUGAAGAGAUUGAUAAUGUUGCCUCCUUAAAAAUUAAGGGGGAAAUGGUUUUUAAAGCUCUUCAUAAAAAUAAAAUUGCUCGUUCCAACCUCAUGGAAAUCAUGUCCAUUGCCAUUGAGGGCAAGAAAAAUUGAGGAGUUGGAAUCUCAUCUCGAGGAGCAUGAGGUCACCAUUGAGAAAAUGGAAGGUCAUGAGCGUGAUUACGCUAAUGAGAUUGCAUACCUCUCCCAAGCUCUUGAACUUGAACAAACCACUAAGGAAUCUCUUGAGGAGACUUUUGCUCUAGAAUUGUCUAGAGUGAAGGAAUCUCAUAAUAGAGCUCUUGAGGUGGCCAAUGAUUUUGAAACUAAAAAUGAGAAGCUUGAAGUUGUGCAUGAUAAACUCCUUGAGGACUUUGGGACCUCGAAAAUGGCUCAAGGGACAUUAAGAGUGAGCUCAUCAAACUCACUGAGUCUCAUGCUCAACUUAAAGCUUCAUAUUCAAAACAGCUUGCAAAAUUGCUUUCUCCUCUUGUUGUUAAUGAUGAUGCUAGUGCUACUAACUCUAUUUAUUGUGAAGCAGCCAUUUUGAAGGAGAAUGUUGAGCUAAGGGCUCAACUUGCGUUGCUAUCUAGCAAUUAUGGGAAAUUGGAAGAAAGUCAUGAAAAGAUCUCAAGCUCUUAUGAUGAUAUUAUAGUAUCCCAUAAUGUGCCAGCGGUAGCUCAUGAGGCUAUGAUGACUAAGGUAACAUCUAGUGAGCCUCAUGUGGAUACUAGCACUAUUUCAAGUCUAAAUACUAUAUUGCCAUGUGCUAGUCCUCGUAAUUCAUCCACUCAUAAUGUUGAUACAUCGUGUGAUGAAUUGCUUUCCUUGCCUUGUUGUUCUAACGAUGAAUCUUAUACUUCCUCUAGUACUUGUGUUGAUACUAACAAUGUAGAGGAAAUCAAAGAGCUCAAGGCCCAAGUCACUUCCUUGAAGAAAGACUUGGAAACGAGUCAUGGAGGGAAGUCCACACUCAACAAUAUCUCGAGUGUGCAAAAAUCCCCCAAUGACAAAGGUGGACUUGGAUUCAACUCCAAUAAGAAGAAGAAGUCCAAGAUGAACAAGAAAAAGGGCCAAAAACAAGUCAAGAAUUUGGCCAAGAAGAAGAAGGCCAUAAGUGACAAGCAACAAGGGAAGUGGCCACAAGUUCAUUCCCAUGCUCAACCUUAAGUUGAAGAAAUGCCUCUCCCCAAGAUGACUCAAGCUAAUUCUUCUCAAUUUGAUAAAUCAAGUGAGAAGAAAGUGAAGAGUAGACAUUGCUACCUAUGUCGUGAGAAAGGUCACAUAACUUCUUCAUGCACGAAUGGUACCUUAUCCAACCCUAUUCUAAUAGAUGAUGUCUAUUCUCUUGGGAAGGAUAAGGUUGGCAAUGUGUUUGCCAAGUUUGUUGGUACUCAAAGUGGUGUCAAUAAAAGAACCAUUUGGGUUGCCAAGCCUAUUGUGACUAACCUCUUAGUACCCAACUUAGUUGGGGACCAACUAGCUCAAACUUGAUCAAUAGGUGUUGUUGGAGGGCAUUGGAGACUUGGAUACGUCAUGAAGAAUUAAGGGGGCUUCAUCAUUCUUAUUGUCUGAAGCCAAGUCAAUUGGGUUAUCAAGUUUCUAUCUUAUAUCCAAUGUGCCUCCUUGCAGUAACUUGUACUUAAAUUGCUUACAUUGAAAGUUACUUGCCCCUUUCCAUGUUUUGGUUUUGUUCCUUGCAUGUAUUUGUAUAUGUUGUGUCUCCAAGUUGCUUAUCUUGAGUAAUCAAGUAUGUGUAUGUUGGUUUGCACAUCAUGUACAUGUGUGUCAUACGUUGAGCCCUUGUGCAUAUUGUUUGUAUUUAUUUGGCUCUUGUGAGAGAUUAAGGGAAUAUCCCAUUGAGGGGGAGUGAUGUGCCUUGUGCACCUCACAAUCCUAUAAAUGCGUGUACAUGAGGAAUACCAUCUAGUAUUGAUAUUACAAGUUUAUCUAGUAGCUAUGUGGUAUGUCUUAUCAUGAGAAAUUCAAAUUCUAAAUAGUCCAGUAAUUAUCUCUUGUUGGAUUAUUAUUGCCUCUUGUGCAGUUUCCUUUGGUAUCACAUUAUGGGGGACUAAUGUGCUAUGUGUAGAUUACAAGCCUAGUAAAUGUGUACAUUUGAGAUACUGUCACUGGUAACCCACAAGUGCAGGGGAUCGCAACAGUUUUCGAUAAGUAAGAGUGUCGAACCCAACGAGGAGCUAAAGGUAGAAUAAAUAUUCCCUCAAGUUCUAUCGACCACCGAUACAACUCUACGCACGCUUGACGUUCGCUUUACCUAGAACAAGUAUGAAACUAGGAGUACUUUGUAGGUGUUGUUGGAUAGCUUUGCAAGAUAAUAAAGAGCACGUAAAUAUAAACUAGGGCUGUUUAGAUAAAGAAGCAAUAAAGUAAGUAUUAGUAGAGAGCUUUUUGUCACGAGAAAGUUAUUUGUCCAAGGCAAACGAUAACUAGACCGGUAAUCACUAUUGCAAUUUUAUUUGAGGGAGAGGCAUAAGCUAACAUACUUCCUCUUCUUGGAUCAUAUGCACUUAUGAUUAGAACUCUAGCAAGCAUCCGCAACUACUAAAGAUCAUUAAGGUAAAACCCAACCAUAGCAUUAAAGUAUCAAGUCCUCUUUAUCCCAUACGCAAACAACCUACUUACUCGGGUCUGUGCUUCUGUUCACUCACGCCACCCACCAUAAGCAAAUCAUGAACAUAUUGCAAACUCUACAGCGGGAAUCCCUCACGCUUGCGCGACACGGAGAGCACCAUAGGACAGCACCAAUAAUAAAACAUGUAACUCAAACCAAUCACGAUCAUCAAUUAACCCAUAGGACAAAACAGAUCUACUCAAACAUCAUAGGAUAGCCAUACAUCAUUGGGAGAUAAUAUAUAGCGUUGAGCACCAUGUUUAAGUAGAGAUUACAGUGGGUAAGAGAGGGGUUACACCUCUGCAUAGAGGGGGGAAGAGUUCAUGAUGAAGGCGGGGAAGUUGUUGGUGAAGAUCGCGGUGAUGAUGAUGGCCCCCGGCGGCGUUCCUGCGCCACCAGAAGCAAGGGGGAGAGAGCCCCCUUCUUCUUCUUCUUCCUUGACCUUCUCCCUAGAUGGGAGAAGGGUUUCCCCUCUGGUUCUUGGCUCCCAUGGCAUGGGAGGGGCGAGAGCCCCUCCGAGAUUGGAUCUAUCUCUCUGUCUCUCUCUGUUUCUGCGUUCUCCCCUCUGCCUUUUCACCUUUUUGUAUGUUCUCCUCGAUGCAUUUCCAACACUCUCUUUUUCUACGUACACUUUUGAUUCCUCAGUAGGUAGGGACAACGUUCGAGAUCUCAUCCAACCGUCUAUUUCUCACUGAUUGGGAGAUUGGAUUGGAAUCCGAGGAGAACUGAUUGGAUGUCAUGGAACGAAUGGGGCACUACGUUGGUUACCCUCUGCUAUCCUAGCGGAGAUUUCUCUAUUUGUUGAAAGUGGAAAGGAGUCAUAUUUGAAUCAGAAAGUUGGGCUCAUUCACUCACACCUUUCUUUGAUUAUUGAUGACUUGGCUUCUUGCUCAAGUAAGCACCCGGCAUACCAAUUCAUUAUCCUUGGGGCUCGGCUCGCUCCUUCCUAUCUACGUUAUUCUUUCUUUUUUACUCUCGUAAUGACCUUCCGAAAGAAAUCAAGGUUACCAGGUGACAACUCUGAUUCUUCUUCCCUUAUAGAACCUUCCCGCAAGAAAUCAGUGGAAGUGGGUCCGCCCUUACAACUCAUCAAAUCUGCCUUCUUUUCUGUUCUGCGAUAUACAUAUUCUCAAGAUAUGGAGAUCCAUAACUCCGAUUGGAUUGAAACCUUCGCCCAGAUCUUUUUCCAGAAAUUAGCUUUCUUGCGGCCAAAGAAGGGCGUCAACCGCCUUACGAGUGGCCCAGGAGGGUGGGGAGCGCGCCUCCCUGUCUCGUGGCCACCUUGGGCACCGUUUCGCGUUGAUUCUUUCUCCGGAAAAUCCCAAAUAUUCCAAAAUAAUUCUCUGUCCGUUUUUAUCCCGUUUGGAUUCCGUUUGAUAUGGGUUUCCUGCGAAACAUAAAACUUGCAACAGACAGGAACUGACACUGGGCAUUGGAUCAAUAUGUUAGUCCCAACAAUAGUAUAAAAAGUUGCCAAAAGUAUAUGAAAGUUGAAUAAUAUUGGCAUGGAACAAUCAAAAAUUAUAGAUACGAUGGAGACGUAUCAGCAUCCCCAAGCUUAAUUCCUGCUCGUCCUCAAGUAGGUAAAUGAUAAAAAAGAUAAUUUUUGAUGUGGAAUGCUACCUAGCAUAAUCUUGAUCAUAUGUCUAAUCAUGGCAUGAAUAUUAAGACACGAGUGAUUCAAGGCAAUAGUCUAUCAUUUGACAUAGAAACAAUAAUACUUCAAGCCUACUAAUAAAGCAAUCAUGUCUUUUCAAAAUAACAUGGCCAAAGAAAGUUAUCCCUACAAAAUCAUAUAGUCUGGCUAUGCUCCAUCUUCACCACACAAAAUAUUCACAUCAUGCACAACCCCGAUGACAAGCCAAGCAAUUGGUUCAUACUUUUUAACGCGCUUCAGCUUUUUCAACCCUCACACAAUACAUGAGAGUAAGCCAUGGACAUAGCACUAUAGGUGGAAUAUAAUAUGAUGAUGGGGGUUAUGUGGAGAAGACAAAAAAGGAGAAAGUCUCACAUCGACGCGGCUAAUCAACGGGCUAUGGAGAUGCCCAUCAAUUGAUGUCAAUGCGAGGAGUAGGGAUUGCCAUGCAACAGAUGCACUAUAGCUAUAAGUGUAUGAAAGCUCAACAAAAGAAACUAAGUGGGUGUGCAUCCAACUUGCUUUCUCACGAAGACCUAGGGCAUUUUGAGGAAGCCCAUCGUUGGAAUAUACAAGCCAAGUUCUAUAAUGAAAAUUCCCACUAGUAUAUGAAAGUGACAACAUAAGAAACUCUCUAUAUGAAGAACAUGGUGCUACUUUGAAACACAAGUGUGGAAAAAGAGGAUAGUAGCAUUGUCCCUUUUUAUAUAUUUUUUAUUUUUCUUUUUUUCUUUUUUUGUGGGCUUCUUUGCCCCCCCUUUUUUUAUUUAGGCUUCGUUGGCCUCUUUUUUUUCUUUUUUUUCUUUUCCUUUUUAUUUUUUUGGCACAUUGCUCUAUUAAUGAUGAUCAUCACACUUCUAUUUACUUACAACUCAGUAUUACAACUGGAUACUAGAACAAAGAUAUGACUCUAUAUGAAUGCCUCCGGUGGUGUACUGGGAUGUGCAAUGAUCUAGCAUAGCAAUGACAUCAAAAAAUGGACAAGCCAUGAAAACAUCAUGCUAGCUAUCUUACGAUCAUGCAAAGCAAUAUGACAAUAAAUGCUCAAGUCAUGUAUAUGAUGAUGAUGAAAGUUGCAUGGCAAUAUAUCUCGGAAUGGCUAUGGAAAUGCCAUGAUAGGUAGGUAUGGUGGCUGUUUCGAGGAAGAUAUAAUGAGGCUUAUGUGUGGUAGAGCGCAUCGUAUCACGGGGUUUGGAUGCACCAGCGAAGUUUGCACCAACUCUCGAGGUGAGAAAGGGCAAUGCACGGUACCGAAGAGGCUAGCAAUGAUGGAAGGGUGAGAGUGCGUAUAAUCCAUGGACUCACAUUAGUCAUAAAGAACUCAUAUACUUAUUGCAAAAGUUUAUUAGCCCUCGAAGCAAAGUACUACUAUGCAUGCUCCUAGGGGGAUAGAUUGGUAGGAAAAGACCACCACUCGUCCCCGACCGCCACUCAUAAGGAAUACAAUCAAUAAAUACCUCAUGCUCUGACUUUGUUACAUAACGGUUCACCAUACGUGCAUGCUACGGGAAUCACAAACUCCAACACAAGUAUUUCUACAAUCCACAACUACCCACUAGCAUGACUCUAAUAUCACCAUAUUUAUAUUGCAAAACUAUUGCAAGGAAUCAAACAUAUCAUAUUCAGCGAUCUACAAGUUUAUGUAGGAUUUUAUGACUAACCAAUGACCAAGUCCUGACAUCUCUCUAAAUAGAUAUAAGUGAAGCAAGAGAGUUUAAUUCUUUCUACAAAAGAUAUGCUCAUUCUCUAACAAUUAUAAGUGAAGCAAAAGAGCAUUCUACAAAUGGCGGUUUUCUAUGUGAAGAGAAACAGGCAAUCCAAACUUCAAAUGAUAUAAGUGAAGCACAUGAAGCAUUCUAUAAAGCCAUACUCAAAAGAUUUAAGUGAAGUGCAAUGAGCAUUCUAUAAAUCAACCAAGGACUAUCUCAUACCAGCAGGGUGCAUAAAAUAAAAGUGAAAACUAAAUGCAAAAGACGCUCCAAGACUUGCACAUAUCGCAUGAACGAAACGAAUACGAAAACAUACCGAUACUUAUUGAAGAAAGAGGGGGUGCCUUCCGGGGCAUCCCCAAGCUUAGAUGCUUGAGUCUCCUUGAAUAUUUACUUGGGGUGCCUCGGGCAUCCCCAAGCUUGAGCUCUUGCCUCUCUUCCUCUUCCUCACAUCGAGACCUCCUCGAUCAAACACUUCAUCCACACAAAACUUCAACAGAAAACUCGGUAAGAUUUGUUAGUAUAAUAAAGCAAAUCACUACUCUAAGUACUAUUGAAAACCAAUUCAUAUUUUGUUUUUGCAUUGUGUCUACUUUAAUAUAGCUUUUCCAUGGCUUAAUCCACUGAUAUAUAUUGAUAGAUUCAUCAAAACAAGCAAACUAUGCAUCAAAAACAGAAUCUGUCAAAAACAGAACAGUCUGUAGCAAUCUGAACAUUAACCAUACUUAUGGUACCCCACAAAUUCUACAAAAAUUAUGAAAAAUAAACAAUUUGUAUAGAAAGACAGUUCAGAAGAAAUCAGAACCAUUUGACGUUCCAGUUAAAAAUGUAAAAUCGCGCACUACAGCCAAAGUUUCUGUCCUGCACCGUACAAACCAACAAGCAUUGUGAACAUCCUAAAGGCAAACCUUGGCACAUUAUUUUUAUAAUACAAUGGAAUUCUACAAGGGUAUAAUUAUUUUUUUGAAAAGUUUUUGUAAUUAAGAUUCACAAAGUUUCUGUGAGCAUGAACAAAGUUCAAGGAGCUCUCCCACUUCAACAAUGCUUGUCUCUCUCACUUUCACUUUCUUUUUGAAAAGUUUUGGGUUUCCCUCUUUAUUUUUUGUUUUUAAAUUAUAUGAAAGCACUCAAAAGAGAUAAAUGACUCUCUAAAACUUCCGGGUUAUCUCGCUGGCAGCGCUUUCUUUAAAGCCAUUGAGCUAGGCAUAUAGUGCUCAAGUAGUGAAUCCACCCGGAUCCCAAGGUAUAUCAAAGCCAAUUUUAAUUAACAAUGAUUUAUAAUUUAGUAGUGAGCACAAAGCAAAAUAUAUCAAACAAUGACGAAGUCUAACUCUCUUCCUAUGCAUUGUCAUGUCAUAAAAGAAAAAUUCAUGCACACCAAGUAAAGGCCAAUGCAUAGUAUAAGCAGUUUCUUGCAAUUCUAUCAUAUUGGAAACAUAGAGAGGUGGAGAUAUAGUUCCUCUCUCAUAAUAAUUGCAAGUAGGAGCAGAAAGAACAUGCAUAUUAUAUGUAUCAAAAUCAUCAUGUGUAGUAGUAAAACACAACCCAUCAAUAUAAUCCUUAAUAAGCACAAACUUCUCUGAUAUAGUGUAGUUUGGAGAAUUCAAAAAGAUAAUAGGGCUAUCAUGCGUGGGUGCAAUAGCAACAAUUUCAUGUUUAACAUAAGGAACUAUAGCAAGUUCAUCUCCAUAAGGAUAAUUCAUAUUGGCAUCUUUGCCACAAGCAUAGCAAGCAUCAUCAAAAAGGGAUAUUUCAAGAGAAACAACGGGAUCAUAACAAUCAUCAUAGCAAUCAUCCUUCGGUAAGCAUGAAGGGAAAUUAAACAAUGUAUGAGUUGAAGAGUUACUCUCAUUAGAAGGUGGGCACGGGUAGCUAAUCCGCUCUUCCUCCUUUUGUUCUUCGCUCUCCUCAUCAUCUUUUUCAUUGAAUGAGCUCACAGUUUCAUCAAUUUCUUCUUCCAUAGACUCCUGCAAAAUAUUAGUCUCUUCUUGGACAGCGGAGACUUUCUCAAUAAGAGCAUCAAUAUCGGAAUUAUAUUCAUAAUUCUCAUAGCAAUAUUUCAACAUAGCAAAAUUUGCAAGCCUAUAAACAUCAUCAUCAAAAGCUUCAUACUUUUCAAACAAAGAUUCAAUUUCAUAAGCAGCCUUAAAAGCAACAAAUUCUUCAAUUCGUUCAACAUCAUAGUAAUCAUAUAUACCGUUAGCAUAAGAAGCUAAGCUUUCAUUAUCAUUAAAUUUGCAUGAAAAGGGAAGGUGUGGAGCCUUCAUCCUAGAGCAACAAGUAUAAUCAUAUCUCAAGCAUAGAUCCCGAGCAUACCAACACAACAUAUUAAUUUGAUCCCAUAAUAGUUUUCCUUUUUGUGUCAAGCGAUAAUCCCUAAAGUAUUCACGUUGAUCCAACGUUACUCCCAUUAUAAAGUUGAAUAGGGUUUUCUCAGGAUUAUCAAAGUAGUACAUAAUAUUUUUCACAUAAUGAUCAUCGAGGGUUUUAGGAGGUUCCCCAUCUCCAUGAGCAUCAAGUUCACCUAAUUUUUUUGGUAUUUCAUGUUCCAUAACUAUAACUAAAGAUGAAGAACAACUAAGAACAGCAAAUAAAAAUUACUUAGUGAUAAAGCAAACAAGCACACACGAGAAUAUUCACCCCACGCUAUGACUCUCCGGCAACGGCGCCAGAAGAAGGUCUUGAUAACCCACAAGUGUAGGGGAUCGCAAUAGUUUUCGAUAAGUAAGAGUGUCGAACCCAACGAGGAGCUAAAGGUAGAAUAAAUAUUCCCUCAAGUUCUAUCGACCACCGAUACAACUCUAUGCACGCUUGACGUUCGCUUUACCUAGAACAAGUAUGAAACUAGGAGUACUUUGUAGGUGUUGUUGGAUAGCUUUGCAAGAUAAUAAAGAGCACAUAAAUAUAAACUAGGGGCUGUUUAGAUAAAGAAGCAAUAAAGUAAGUAUUAGUAGAGAGGUUUUUGUCAUGAGAAAGUUAUUUUUCCAAGGCAAUCGAUAACUAGACCGGUAAUCACUAUUGCAAUUUUAUCUGAGGGAGAGGCAUAAGCUAACAUACUUUCUCUUCUUGGAUCAUAUGCACUUAUGAUUAGAACUCUAGCAAGCAUCCGCAACUACUAAAGAUCAUUAAGGUAAAACCCAACCAUAGCAUUAAAGUAUCAAGUCCUCUUUAUCCCAUACGCAAACAACCUACUUACUCGGGUCUGUGCUUCUGUUCACUCACGCCACCCACCAUAAGCAAAUCAUGAACAUAUUGCAAACCCUACAGCGGGAAUCCCUCACGCUUGCACGACACAGAGAGCACCAUAGGACAGCACCAAUAAUAAAACAUGCAACUCAAACCAAUCACGAUCAUCAAUUAACCCAUAGGACAAAACGGAUCUACUCAAACAUCAUAGGAUAGCCAUACAUCAUUGGGAAAUAAUAUAUAGCGUUGAGCACCAUGUUUAAGUAGAGAUUACAGCGGGUAAGAGAGGGGUUACACCGCUGCAUAGAGGGGGGGAAGAGUUGGUGAUGAAGGCGGGGAAGUUGUUGGUGAAGAUCGCGGUGAUGAUGAUGGCCCCCGGCGGCGUUCCGGCGCCACCGGAAUCAAGGGGUAGAGAGUCCCCCUUCUUCUUCUUCUUCCUUGACCUUCUCCUUGGAUGGGAGAAGGGUUUCCCCUCUGGUCCUUGGCUCCCAUGGCGUGGGAGGGGCGAGAGCCCCUCCAUGAUUGGAUCUAUCUCUCUGUCUCUCUCUGUUUCUGCGUUCACCCCUCUGCCUUUUCACCGUUUCGUAUAUAUAUGGAGAUCCGUAACUCCGAUUGGAUUGAAACCUUCGCCCAGAUCUUUUUCCAAAAAAUAGCUUUCUUGCGGCCAAAGAAGGGCGUCAACCGCCUUACGAGUGGCCCAGGAGGGUGGGGGCGCCUAGGGGGGAGGGCGCGCCACCUGUCUCAUGGCCACCUCGGGCACCGUUUCUCGUUGAUUCUUUCUCCGAAAAAUCCCAAAUAUUCCAAAAUAAUUCUCCGUCCGUUUUUAUCCUGUUUGGAUUCCGUUUGAUAUGGGUUUCCUGCGAAACAUAAAACAUGCAAUAGACAGGAACUGGCAUUGGGCACUGGAUCAAUAUGUUAGUGCCAAAAAUAGUAUAAAAAGUUGCCAAAAGUAUAUGAAAGUUGAAUAAUAUUGGCAUGGAACAAUCAAAAAUUAUAGAUGCAACGGAGACGUAUCAGUCACCUAGAAUUGAUAUUGUAAAUUAUCUUGUCCCUAGGUGGCAUGUUAGCUCUACAAGUUGCAAUUUGCUUUUAUGUUUGGUGUGAAGAUGAUGAUGUAUAUCUUUGAAAUCUACCACCGGGAAUUAUUUCCAAAUACUUGUCUCUUGACAAUUGGUAACCAUUUAUGUGAUAGAAAUUGUUGAUCAACUUUACAUUGGCCUUUGGUUUUAUUUGCCUUAUCUCUUUCAUAGGAUUGUUUCAACUCCCCCGUUCUUCCGUGCCACUUGUGGAUCAUGUUUAUUUCUUGAUCUCGUCUAGUGCGUCUAUGGAUAUAGUGAAAGAGGUGAUCCCAUCUUGUGCAUUUUGCAUUCAAAUGCAAAUUCUAUAAUUCACAACUCUUGGGGGAGCUAUCCUAUUUUCUUUAGAACACUCAUCUUGUGAUCCUUACCAAGUGUGUGUUGGUGGAAGACAAGUCGUUUCUUUUUGGUACUGUGUGCCACCAUGAAACUUUGUAGAGGUCUUGGUUCGUUAGGAAUGAGUUUGGUAUCUUCCUUUUAGUGUGUAUCAAUGGAUAUAUCAUUCUUCGAUGUAUCUUUUAUUUGGUAUCCUUCAAGUCAUAAGUUCUUCUUUGAGUAUCUUAUUUUCACUUGGUAUCUUUUCUUUUGGGAUCCUAUCAACCAUGUUUUGAUUUGGUCCUUGAAGUCUAGAGCAUGCAUAUUUACCUUAUGUACAUUCUUUGGCAUGCUUUCUUUAUUUGACCCAAUAUAUAAGGGAAACUCCACCAAGUCUCAAAUUGGCUAAGAUGUGCAUGAAAUUCUAUUUCAUAUCUAUAUGCACAUAUUUAUGUGGAGUUUGUCAUAUGUAUUGUUGGUUUCCUAACUCUUUGGUCCCAAUGAGUUUGGCUACCAAUUUUUACUACCACUCUAGAGUGGUACUACCGCGGCUACUACCGUGGCUACUUCCGCUCCGAACCAAAAUCUCGUAUUAACUCCAGCGGUGGUAGGCACAUAUGUAUUUUUUUAGUACCGCUCGCAAGCAGUAGUACCGCUACCCUUAGCGGUAGUACUGUGAGGACGAGCGGUAGUACUGCUCCGGCGGUUCUACUGGCCUUUUACCUCCUCGCUGUUGUUUUUCAAAGGGCUUCCACCGCCCUGGCGGUAGUACCGCUCCCAUGAGCAGUAGUACCGCUCUGUGCGGGCAUUGAGCAUAAUGGUUGGAUUUUUCCCCACCUACAAAAAGGGGGUCUUCUUCCCCAAUGAACCUUAUCCUUUGGGCUCGUGUUCUUCCCCCAUUGUUGACCUUCUUCGAGCUUGCUAUCUCUCAAUCCCUCCAUGGAUUCUUGCUUGUUUUUUUUGGGGGGGGAGAGAGAGAGGAGAUCUAGAUCCACAUUUCCACCAAUCACUUUCUCCUCUAUGUGAGGGGAACCCCUUGGCUUAAGAUCUUGGAGUUCUUGGUGUUCUCCUUCUUGUUCUUCCUCUCACUUUCCUCCCUAGCAUUAGUUCUUUGGUGGGAUUUGGGAGAGAAGGACUUGGGCACUCCGUGUGCCCUUGCCAUUGCAUUUGGUUCGGUUUGAGUUCUCCACGGUGAUAUGUGGAAGUUACAAGUUGAGAAGCUUAUUACUCUUGGGUGCUUGGUACCCUUGAGCUUGUUCCUCUUGGGGUGCUUCGGUGCCCUAGAUGGUUGGUGGUGUUCGGAGCUCAAUCAUUGUGGUGUAAAGCUCCAGACAAGCGUCGGGGUGUCCAAUUAGGUUGUGGAUAUCACCCCGAGCACUUUGACGGGUUCCGAUGACCGCCCCCAAGGGUUGCCAAAGUGUAUGGGUUCAGUGAUGGCCCCCAAGGGUUGCCAUUUGUACGGGUUCGGUGACCGCCCUCAAGGGUCCCUUAGUGGAAUCACGACAUCUUGCAUUGUGCGAGGGCGUGACGAGAUUAUGGUGGCCCUAGUGGCUUCUUGGGGAGCAUUGUGCCUCCACAUCGCUCCAAAUGGAGAUUAGCAUCCACAAGGGUGUGAACUUUGGGAUACAUCGUCGUCUACGCGUGCCUCGGUUAUCUCUUACCCGUGCCCUUUACUUAUGCACUUUACUUUGUGAUAGCCAUAUUGUUUCUUGUCAUAUAUCUUACUAUCACUUAGUUGUUUAACUUGCUUAGCAUAAGUUGUUGGUGCGUAUAGGUGAGCCUAGUUGUUGUAGGUUUUGUGCUUGACAAAUUAACCGCUAGGUUUAUUCCACAUUUGUUCAAGCCUAAACCGNNNNNNNNNNNNNNNNNNNNNNNNNNNNNNNNNNNNNNNNNNNNNNNNNNNNNNNNNNNNNNNNNNNNNNNNNNNNNNNNNNNNNNNNNNNNNNNNNNNNNNNNNNNNNNNNNNNNNNNNNNNNNNNNNNNNNNNNNNNNNNNNNNNNNNNNNNNNNNNNNNNNNNNNNNNNNNNNNNNNNNNNNNNNNNNNNNNNNNNNNNNNNNNNNNNNNNNNNNNNNNNNNNNNNNNNNNNNNNNNNNNNNNNNNNNNNNNNNNNNNNNNNNNNNNNNNNNNNNNNNNNNNNNNNNNNNNNNNNNNNNNNNNNNNNNNNNNNNNNNNNNNNNNNNNNNNNNNNNNNNNNNNNNNNNNNNNNNNNNNNNNNNNNNNNNNNNNNNNNNNNNGUAGAAUUACCUUCCACACUAUGUUUCCAACUUGAAAAGUUUUCAAAUUGACCUUUUUACUGUAAGCUCUUUCCACCCUUAACUUGUCCCUCUCUAUGGGUUUUAAACCAACCAAGCAUUUAUCACCGACUCAACCAAAAUUGUCCAUCAUCAAGUUAUAAAUUCCACCGCCAAUAAGUCAUUUUGUUUGGAUAAUUUCACAACAUUCAAUUUACCUCUAUGGGAAAACAGUUUUUCCCCAUACGCAAGCUCAUAUGAGCUUACCUCUUAGCACCUUGCCAUGAGAUUGUACGACCCACAAAUCCUUGGAAAAUAAUUCAUGCCACCUCCUUGGUUCAAUAUUUUUCUUGAUGAACCUGAUUAUAUAUUUUGUUGCUAGACUCAUCGUCCAUUGGUUUGGACAUAAUAUGGAGAGAAAUUGAGCAACUUUAUCUUAUAAGAUUCAACAAAUUCUCUCACUUGAUAUGACAUGAAUGACAAACCUUCAUCCGUUGUUAAUGUUUGAGAAAUGUCGAAUCUAUGGAUAAUGUGCUUAAUUAUGAAUUGAUUUACCUUUAUACAUGUCAUAUUUUGAGAGGUAUUACUUCAGACCAUUGGUGAAAUAAUUAGUUGCCAGCAACAUGAACCGAUACCCUUUUGAAGAAGGAUGAAUUUCUCUAAUAGAGUAUAAUCCUCAAACUCUAAAAGGACACAACUUGAUAAUGUGAUGUAACAUAACAGCAGGAGCCAAAUAUAAUCAAACUUUUGACAAGCUUCACAUCCUUUAGAAUACCUCGAGCAAUCAUUAAUUAUUAGCGACCAAUAAAACUCAUCACGUCGCAAUACCCACUCCAUUUUGUGGGCUGACUAAUGAGUGCCACAAAUGCCUUCAUGUACCUCUCCCGCAACAACUCUUGCUUGGUCCUCACCCAAGCACUUCAAAAGAAUACCGUCAACCAUUGAUUUGUGAUAAUGGCCAUCAUGUAUUAAUGUAUACAUGAAAGCCUUCGUGUCCACCCUUUUACUAAAGGCUAUAUUAUAACUUAUUUUUUCAUGGGACAUUGGUUGAUCGAUUUCAUGGUUUUUUAAAAAAAUAGUAUUUUAAUUGUAAAACAAAGUCGACAAUAUCGCACAAUUCCCAUGAGAAUCCUAAAUUUAUAUGUCAUAUACGAUUGAAUGAAGCAAGCAUUUGAUGGACACACACUCCGCUUACAAGAAUACUACCGCACAUUGCCUCCUAUCCUCACUAAUGAUGGCCAAGUAUACGAGGAACUGUGUCUAAGGACUUGUUCUAAUUUCUUUUGCCAUUGUGUUGUCUUUUCCCUGACAUGGAUGCUCAUAUGGUAAUUAAUCAACAAAUCAAAGUUUUUUCUUUUUUCUUUUCAAUGCGAAAUAGAUUGUUGACUUAGAUUUGUUAUGUCGUUUUGUUAUUGACUGUAUUUGGUUUUCUUAACCAAAAAAACAAAAUUCUGCCUAUACAUAUAUAUGCUAUAGUCCAUGCAUGUUGUAUAUGUUAUUGAGAGGCUAAGUGUAUUCUUUUUUAUAUGCAUGUUAGGGGAAAUCAUAAGUGAAAAUGGAAACAAAAAGAUCACGAUGGUCUAAGUAACCCACGCCCCUUGUUAUAAGGAUGAGCACAAUGUUGUAGGCUGACAAUUCUGCUGCAAAUACAUUGACAUCGACAACAAAGGCUGUCACCUCGCUUGAGUAACAAGGGCUAUCAACAGCCUGAAUAAUUAACACAACAAUUUCCGCAUAUUCAUCUCGUUUAGUAGCAACAUAUAGUAGGUGCCAAUUUCAUUAUUCAAAUACAUCGUCUUUCAAGGCGUGGUAAACAAUGGGCAGUACAUACAAAGUGAAGAUAACAUUCACACAAGUCGUGUCAUGAUGCUUGGUCUAUACCUGGGAGCAAAUUAAUUUUGACUGGAUCCUUCUUAGUCGUGUCAUGAUGCGCCUUGCAAUGCUCACACGCGCCCGUGCGGGGUGGGCACCAGCACGAGCGGCGUCUUGAGGAGGGGGAUAACCUUGCCUUGCUCCUCCACACUCACCAUCGUCCCAUCCGGGAGCGCCCACUCGAAGCAGCACAACAGGUUCGCCAGCGUGAACUCCACGGUGGCCACACUCAUGGACAGGGCGGGACACAUGCGCCGCCCUGCGCCGAACGGUAUCAGCUCGAAAUUCGCGCCCUUGAAGUCUAUCUCGCUCGCCUCGAACCUAUCUGGCUUAAACUCUUCCGGGUCAUCUGGCCAGCUCAUCGGGUCUCUGCCAAUGGCCCAGGCGUUGACAUAGAUCCUUGUCUUUGCUGGCACGUCGUAGCCACCAAUCUGGAUGUCCCGCAUGGCCUCCCUAGGCAACAACAUCGUCGCCGGCGGGUGCAGCCGCAGUGUCUCUUUGACCACCAUCUUGAGGUAUCCUAUCUUGGGCAUGUCGUUCGGUCGCACCCUCUCGUUGCUGCCCACCACGUCCCUGAUCUCCUUUUGCACCUUCUUCAGCAGAUGGGGCUUUCGGAUUAGCUCCGCCAUUGCCCAAAGGAUCGUCACCGAGGCCGCGUCCGAGCCACCAAUGAACGUACCCUGCAUGUAUGCAUGGCCGUAGUGUCUUAAGUUACUUCUCCUUUUUUUCCUUCAUCAAGGCAUGACAGGAUCUAGACACAACUAGUAAAACGUACAAAGAUGAGGCCCUUGACAUGGUCUCUCGUGAUACCGAGCGUGGUGCCACGGUUGUCCUUCCAGAGGUCGACGAGGCGGUCGACGAGGUCACCGCCGCCGUUCUGAGGCUUAACGCGCCGAGGGUCAAGAUGCUGCUCAAUGAUGAUCUCGAAGAAGGCAUCAAGAUGCUUGAAGAUCCGCUCGCGGCGAGCGGUGAGACCGGUGAUUCGGUCGAUUAGGCGUCCGAUGAUGUUGGGGAAGUAGUCCUCAGCGGAGAAGCUUGCCUGCGCAUGUGUGGCCUCCUCGAGCACGUGCUCCAAGUUCUUGUGGUGUGGGAACUUGUCGUUGUUGUACAUGUCUCCAAAACCCAGCAUGCCGAUGAUGCCAUCGGCCAGGCUGAAGACGUGCUCCUUCAGGGCUACCGGCUCUCCGACCAAGCCGCUCAAGGUGCUCAUCAGUCUCUCCACCUAAUAGACCAAGGUAUAAUCCAUUAGAGUGUUUUUUUCUACCAUACGCGCCGCGUGGAACAUAUCAACCACCCCUUAUUUUAUCUCAAGCUAGGCUAUCUCACCAAGUUAGCACACACAUGUUGGCUUCUGUUUGAAAAAAAAUUAGAUGCUAAUAUAUUUUCUAACAAAUGUUUGACUUACAUUCUCGAGUCUCCACAUAAGUGGUCUGUCUAGGACACAUCUAGAUGUGUUAUGUCACAUCUAAGCUGAUUUUCAUUUUGCUUGUGGUCUUUUUUUUUGUCUAAGUUUUUUUUCUUAUUGCCGCAUUAUAUAUUUGUGAAAGGUUAGAUGUGACAUUUUUAAAAAACAUCUAGAUAUGAAUUAGACAAACUGUAACUGUUACUGCCUCCGAUUCUGUUGAAUAAAGCGCGCACGUGUUCUAAAUUUUACAUGAACCAUUAAUAUGAACUAAUAAAGCAUAGGGUAUGUUACUUAUUAUAUAUACCACUAUUUUUUUCAAAUAUGAAUCAACAGCAUAGCUUUUCUCACAAAUAAGUGUGUAACGCACAUUUGGUUGGUUAAACUGAUGGUCAAAAUUAAAUUUUAAGUUCGUGCGUGCUUUACUCAUUGAAAUGGAGGAAGUACGUUUCUCUUAGAAGGACUAGCAUUAGUUGUGUGUGCGUGCUUCGUAUACCUGAUGCUGGCGUGCGUUCCAUGCAGCUUUAGCGUGGCGCACGCCAAAGAGCUCGACCACGAGGAACUUGCGCAUCGCGUGCCAGUAGGCGCCGUAGGGCGCGAACCCGACAUUGUUGAGGCCGUAGGACAGACGCUUCAUCCCUGGGGACAUGGGGCGGGUGCAGCAAUCCUCAUCGUGGGUCUUCAUCACCUCUUGCGCUGCCUCAGCUGACGACACCACCACCGUCGGCACCGUGCCGAGCUGCAGCUGCAUCACUGGCCCGUGCCGCCGCGCCAGAUCCCGUAGGCUCCGGUGCGGCAGCUGGCUUACCUGGUGCAGGUUCCCCAGGAACGGCACUUGGGCCGGGCCCGGCGGCAGCCUGAGCCCCUUGUUGCUCAGUUUUCUCCUCGUCAAGAGCCCGAGGGAGACGAGUGCUAGGAGGAGGAGGAGGAGCUGCCAUUGUUGCGGUGGGGAGAGGACCAAGCUGAGUGAGAUGGCCAUUGAUUUUCUUAACUGUGUUUGGUGAUGUUGUGCUGCUGCUUCUAAACUUUGUUUCGCGUCCAAUUGAUUGUCUUAUUUAUGGUGUGUGCAUCCGCGUGUUAUUAACGAGCAAAGAUUUAUUCAACGUGUAAGUCAUGCAGAGUCCAAGCAUAUCAUCUUUCUCCUUUGUCGAAAGAUAUAUCAUCUCUUUCUCUCAAUUUCACUUUUGUACUGAUUGACUGAUCGGAUGCACCAUACACCGGUAUCUUUUCUCUUAAAAAAAUAGCCAAGUGGCCCACGCACGCAAAUGCGCCGGCUAUGUCUUAGACAUCUUUUAUUUAUUUUAAAAAUGUUAGAAUUUAUAUACCAAGUGCACGUACACUCCGAAAGCCAUACAAAUUCCUUGAAUUGGAUGCAAAAUGGCAUAAUUAUUUGACCUUCUAUUAUAGUAAUAUAUGUAUAUGUAUAGUACAUGUCAUUCAGAAGUACAUACAAUGAGGACGCGGAUUUUUAGGAUAUGGUUCUAUGCGAUGCCGUAAUCUCAGUCGUCCACGUUCGCAUCUAGAUUACUAUUCCCUCCGAUCCAAAUUACUUGUCGCUCAAAUGGACGUAUCUAGCACUGAAAUACAUCUAGAUACAUCCAUUUGAGCGAUAAGUAAUAUGGAUCGAAGGGAGUAAUUAAUAUAGUGUUUGCUGCAAUACAAACAGUGUUGCUCAAUAAUGCAUUGGAAUACGCUUUUCUUUACCGGGCAGGAGUGGGCCUCAAAGCUUUAAAUUCGUAUGCAUACUACUUUGUCGUUUAGUCAAUCGGUAAUAUUUGUUGGGUGCAUUGAUGACCUGCCCACUCAUUUACAAUCGUCUACGCGGACAAUUAAACAAAUGUGGCAGCAUGUGAGAGAUUUAUGGUGCUUGGCUUGUGAGAGGCACGCUAAUUUGUAUGGUUCCUGUUUUGUGUGUGAGGUACCAUGCAUCUUAAUCAUGUGGUAAGCACAACAAUUGGGACAAAAAUGAAUUCAUUUCUAGUGUUGAUUGUAUAUCAGCAAAACAACAUCAAAAUGGAUUGUUGAGUGAUAAGCAUAACAUGACACAGAUUGUGCGAUAGGUGAGGACGCACCACAUACUGGAAGAUACAUGGGCAAAUGUGGAUAAAAAAGUAAGAAAACUAGCUAUUGGGGGGUUCUGAUUAUUUGUUCUAAGUGGACUAGUCUAAUUUUAUGUAGUGCACAUAUUUUUGAAAAUUAAAAUCUUGGAUUCCUGAAAUGUUAAAUUAUUUAUUGGAAUUUAGGAACAUUGUUUUUAGUUGCAAUUUAGGAAUAUUAAUCGUGUUUGUGCACAUGCCUAGCUAACCUGACAUGGAGAUAGAACUAAGCUGAUAUCGCAUAGUUAAAAGUUCACACUAAUUCAUCCAAAAAAGAAAAAUAGUUAUUGGUGCUCUGAUUAUUUGUUCUAGGUGGACUAGUUUAAUCUUAUGCAGUGGACAUAUUUUUCAAAAUUUAAAUCUUGGAUUCUUAAAAUUGUAAAUUAUUUGCUGCAAUUUAGGAACAUUUUUAGUUGCUAUUUAGGAAUAUUAAUCAUGUAUAUGCACAUGGCUGACCUGACAUGGAGAUAGACCAAACCUUAUCUAGCGUAGUUAAAAGUUUACACUAAUUAUUCUUAAAAGGAAAUUAGCUAUUUGGGGCUUUGAUUAUUUAUUCUAGGUGGACUAGUUUAAUCUUAUGCGGUGGGUAUAUAUUUAAAAAUUAAAAUCAUGCAUUCCUGAUUUUUCAAAAUAUUAAUUGCAAUUUAGGAACAAUUUUGUAGUUGCAAAUUAGAAACAUUAAUCAUGUGUACGCAUAUGCCUGACCUGACAUGGAGAUAGACCUAAGCUGGUCUAGCAUAGUUAACAGUUCAGACUAAUUCAUCUAAGAAAAUGUUCAGACCAAUUAGCAGACUACACAUUUUCGUUGCAGCUAUAGAGGGUGAUGCACUAGCAAUAUGUAGUGGAGCAGCACACAUUAAGACGAGGGCAGUGUGGUGCAUUAAUCCUCACCUGUGCCUAGUAAAUGUGAUGACACUAUAAUACCUCACUUUCCAACUUCAACGACGCUGGAUGGAGAGAGAUGGUGGUGCAGGCUUCAAAUGCAGUUAACGUUCCCAACCUGUGCCUAGUAAAUGAGGUCUGCUCCUAGUAAAUGAGUUGGGUCACGUUUAUCAAGCAUGUGGCCCCUUAUGCAUUGAUUGUUUUGUGGAAUAGAGAUUCAAUACUGCAAGGAGAAAUAUUCAAUAUACGUGAUAUGCUGCUUAUGGUAUGAAUACGAUACAAAUCUGAGAGAAAUGGAUGGUGAGAUAAAGACCUCGCGUGGCGCCAUGUUCACCUAUGCAUUUUUGAUACAAUGACUACUAAUAAAUACUAAAUUGUUUACCUUUAGAAGUGUAAAAAAACAUAGUUUGGAACUGGAAUCUGAGUGAUCCUCCGAUAUCGUCUGCUGCCCACUACCGAGAUGGAGUAAAGAUGAAGCGAGGCUGGUGGACCGAGAGAUGGAUGUCGCCGGAUGCCUGCGUCGCGUCGUCGGCCUGCCCGUGCCGCCGUGCGAUCAGGCGACGGCGGUCUGGCUGGCCGCCAUGCCGAACAGAACUCGGGAUGAGAUUGGGAGGCACCGGUUUGUCUCGUGUGAUUUGUUUUUGGCCAGUACUAAGCGCCGGUGCGCCGGCCCAAAUUUGGGCCGGUCGUAUCCUGUACGUCUGAUUAAAACUCUUUUAACCGUCAGAUUCUUUCGUCCCCACCACGCCGUUCUUUACUCUGCAAAUCACGCGAGUGCCAUGGACGAGCUACUUGACCCGUCGGAUCUCCACCGCUCGCCGCCUCUCUCCGCAGCUCCAAUUCGUCGUCGCUGCACACCCUCCUCAUCCCCCGUCGUUUCAGCACCACCCCCCGACGGAUGCAUCUUUGCCAAACGUCGGACGCAGCAACUCGCACUGGCUCCGCCCAUCACAGCACAACAUCGACGCCGCAGUCGACCUGCACCACCUGAUUCCACCAAAAAACACAUCUCAGCCCAAAAAAGAACUCCGGUGGGUAGUUGCAGCAAAACCAAAAAUUGGUUCCAACAGAAAAACAAAGGUUUCCAGCAAAUCAACUUGAGCACCUAGCAAACCCAGUAAUUUGCUUGAAGCAAAUUAAAUCACGAUUCCAGCAAAAUAUUAAUAUGGUUCCAGCAAAGAUGCGUCGCCGCCUCCUGAUCGUAGCAAAUAAUCUCAAGCAACAAGAAACUCGUCGCAGCAAAAUCAUUUGCCGGCUCUAGCAAAAAAAAAA